Molecule: long non-coding RNA, 11046 nt
Organism: Passer domesticus (house sparrow)
Lineage: Eukaryota; Metazoa; Chordata; Aves; Passeriformes; Passeridae
Exons: 5
Source: RefSeq, a predicted model, not a curated record
CUGGGCAUGAGACUGGGAACGGAGAGCAGUACUGGGAACGGAGACAGGGACUGGGGUAGAGAGCAGGAACCGGAACCAGGGCCAGGGACUGGGAUGAAGACCGGGAACCAGAGGCAGGGCACAGGAAGAAGGAACAGGCACCAGAAUGGGGAACAGGGGCCAAAUACCGGGGUACAGGGACAGAGACAGAUACUGGGGACCGGGGACAAGAGCUCGGAACAGGGACUGGUGACGCGGUGAGGGAGGUGAUGGCUUCUCCCGGGUCCCUGCCCGGCCUGGCCCCUCAGCCCCGGGCAAGGGAGAAAUCGCAGGGCCUACAGCCCGGAGGCAUAACUAAUGUUUAUUACUGAGGAAACAACACUAACAAAUUCUGCCCUUUAAUCACAGAAUCGCUGAGGUUGGAAAAGACCUCCGAGGUCAUGGAGUCCAACCUGAGACCGAUCCCCACCUUGUCACCCCAGCCAUGGCACUGAGUGCCACAUCGCUGAGGUGAAGAUCAGGAAGCAGAAGUCACACACAUCUUUAGGGAGAGACUCAGUGAUACAGGACAGUGAGCCUUGGCUUCAUUCCAAAGAACUGUCUUUGGAGAUAUUUAGAAGGAGGAUGGCCAAGAAGACUGAGCAGUGUUUGUGUGAAGAGUGGACUGGGCAGAUGAAGAGUUGCCACAGGCUUUCAGGGGAUCACCAAAUCUGUGCCAGUCCUUCAGAGAAAUGAGCCCACCCUCUGAAAUGCUUAAUCCAGGUAGGAUUGUUGGAAAGUGUAGUUCAAGGCCUUCCUCCAGGUGAGAUUCUUCAAUGAUUCCUGAGCCUUUUCUGGAGCUGUAUAGCCAGUGGUGGUCCAAUCCAAAUACUUAUCAAUACAGGUUUAAAUCCCACAUCUUAGGUCAGUGGGUACAUCCAGCUGGUUCAGAUGUUUCUCAUCAAUGCCACCCCAUCCUUAUGAGUCCUUUUAUUCCCUUUUCCCCUGUUUUCUCCUAAAUGCUACAGCGAUCUCUCUACUUGCUUCUUUAUUUUGCUAGAGUGCCUUUUCCAGACCUAUGUUCCUUAGAUGUAGACACACAAAAUAUUUUGUACUUCUAUGGCACCUUCUGUUGAAGAAAGAGCCUUUUAGAAGAGCUGGAAGAGAAGGAAUUAUCACCAAUAAACAAGGCUGAGCAACUUCAAAGAGACAGCCUGAUUUGCCUGGGGAUGCACAAAAAUCAGCAAAAGAAAGGAAAAAAAACCUGAACAUUUAUCUCCUGUCUCCCUUUAGCUUUUUUUUUCUAUAAAGUAUAUUUCCUUUGCUUAUUCAUAACACCUUUAAGAAUACCAAAAAUCUUCUGACCUUCCUAUGAAAAAUAACUGAAGACAAACAUCUGGUGUAAAAUCAAUAUUUCUUAGUAGGCAAAAAGAUCAAACAAACUCAUUUUCUGUAGAAUCUGUCUGAUUCUCUCCAAAAGGUUUGCUGCUGAGAUAGCUUCCCUGCCUCACACAGGCAGCCUUAAGAAGCUCCUUUCUCCUCUGGGACCACAGGAGGUUUCACAUUAUGUUGUUAACCUCCCUCAGAUCAUCCCCUCCAUGCACAAUCCCAGUCACAUUUACAUGCAGACAUAAUGUCACUCAGCCCACUUGAUGCCACUUACAUCUCCUUGUUGCUAUGGGGAAUACUGAUAAGGAAACCAAUUAGCAAAUAAAAUAUUUGAGGCCCAAUGUGAAAGCCACUGCUCGGUGGAUUUGUGUGUGUUAAGCAGUGACAUUUCAUUUGGCAUUUGUCCUUACCUAGCAGAGCUUCUUCCACUGCAUUCUAUGUAGUCAAAACAUGCUCUUCUUGGGAUUUAGAGGCUUAGACGUGCAACUGUAUGUGACCCCGGGGAAUUUUUACAGCUCUCAGGAGAAGUGGGAGCUUGGAAAGCGCGUUUGCAGCAUGGAAGUGCCAAGAGCACCAUCCAGUGCUUGAGCUGAGUAAACACACAAGAACUCGGUGGUGCUGGGACAGAGGCAGCUCUGCACAUCCCAUGGUCCAGCUGCACCUGCUGGGAUGCACCAGGAGUUCAUGGAAAGAGACCACAGUUAGAAAAGGGACUUAUAGGGGAAGGCUGGCAGGGCUGUCAGCCUCUCAGAAGGGCAGGAGACAACCGAGAAGGUCACAUCUUUUAGAGAAGAGCUGUAUUCUGAGUUGGAGUUACUGACUGAGGGAGCAAGAGAUACAAGGAAGGAGGAAGUGGAGGUGGCAAUAGAUGGGGCCAGUUAAGAAAAGUAGGUGAAUUAAAUCCAUGAUGGAGAGGAGAGAGAACUGGGCCAGAUACUUAUUCUGUUAUUCUUCCUCUUUGCAGAGCUGAAACAGCAGAAAGAGACUAGGAGGGUGCACUGGCAGCUGAGAAAAUAAAGGAGAAGUGACCUCAGCUGCCACUGCACAGUCUCAACAGCCUGGUACUGUUUGACAAAUGUGAUGGAGAAAGAAGAAAGAGAGGUUAUCCAGAGGUUUUGGGAAGAGAUUGUCUGAUGUGUCUGCAGAGUGAGACCCUGUUUGAGAGCUUUGGUCUGUGUAAAAUGUGCCUGCCCACCACAGAGCCCUCGUGGGGAUUUAUCCAUGCAACACCUGCCUGCCAGGGAAGGACGGAUGCCACUCGACAGAUGGAGGUGCCCAUAUUGCUGCCACACAACAUUCCACAGGCCUGGUCUUCCCAAAAUCAUCCCACUGCUGGGCACAGCGAGGAGGGGCAGGCUCUCACAUCCCAGCUGUGACUGCAGAGGUGAGUCACAGGCUGGUGCAUAUGAACCACCCAAUUUAGAAGUGUUUGAGAUUAAUACUUUCACUUUAGGAAAUGUUUCAGCCAAGGAAGGCUGAGUACACAGAGCUACUGUUACCCUGGCUGAGACUUUGGACAUUUGGCUUCACUCCUGGACAGAUUUUCCUAUGAGUGGUGUUUUCCCCUGUAAAUUUUACCAAAUUCACCUGCUUAGAGGCUCUGACUCCUGGAUCUAUGACCAAAGCUAUGAAAGAGCACCAAAUGGGAAUUCCUAAAUUGCACAAUUGAGAGUAUGUAAGGCAACUGUUUCAUGUAUAGUAACCAAGAAAAAUGUCUCACAAUGUAACAUUCUCUGCUACUAAGAAAAUAAGGUACUUUGAGUUACAUUCCUUUAAGAUGUCUUGCUAUGUUUAAAGGGCUGGAUUUUUUCUCUUUUGUCUUGUUUUCAGGCUUGAUACAUCAAGAAAACUUCAGAGGAGUUAUUAUUGCCUCACACCAAUGUAAGGCGAAAGAGAAGCAAGUAAUUCAUGUUUAAUGUUGUUUUGUGCCAGAUGUUUUGCUGGUAGAAAUCCAUAGCUCCACAGGCAUCAAUUUCUUCAGGAUCUGGAAUGUUUGACACAAUUUUUUUUUCUCCUUUCUGGAUGGUCUGUAAAGGAAGCUGCUUGGUUUUGCAAUGUUGAAUAUUCACGCUGAGAAGUUAUAAGCAAAAACAAAAUAAUGAGAGACAGGGUCUCUAAUAAGCUUCCUGUCACAUGAGGCUGUGGUUCUGGUGCAGCAGAUGUGGUUGCUGACUUGUUUCCAAAAUGUUUGUUGAGUGGUGAUUAGAUUCUGUCAUAGUGAUGUUAUAUCUCUGUGAUCUCAUUCAAUACAAGUAGUUCUGCAAACAGUGAAAUAUUUUUUUCCUAUGGAUUUAUAUCUUGGAUUGUGUUUAGGCAUGGAUUCUCUGAUGUGUAAUGGGAAUUUAAUUCAUUUUAGCCUAUUUCUUCAAUGAGAAAUGAAUAAUCUGUCUUGACUUGGCUGUCAGUUUUCACAGACUUGCAGAAAUUAAAUAUCUUAAGUUCUAAAAAUCUGAGUGGGAAUUAUGAACCAGUUCCAACACUGUUUGGGGCCAAUUCAUAUAAACAAACAUAAACAUGAGUCUCAUUUUCUUACAAAAGCAAAAGAUAAGAAUAAUCUUUUUUUACUUUGUAUUUCCACAUUACCUGCUUGAUUAUCUGCUGGUUUAUUUGUGAUCAACCAUAGAAGAUAUGCUUUAUUUGUAAAGCUGUAUGAAAUAUGGGACUUUUUUCCACAUUGAAUGCAUAUUAACUCAUCAUUAAUUUAUGCUUGUUACAGGCCACACAAGAGGUCACAUUCUCUUUUUAUUGUCCUUGCUGGAGCAUGGGAAAGAAGUGACAUGCAUUUCAACUUACAUGUUUGCACAGACAAGUGCAGAGAAAACUAAUUCUAAAGGAAAAAUUAUCUAUUCUAUCACCAGUUCUGGUGAAGGAAAUGUAGAAUUAAAAUUAUCUUUUGGAUUGCUGAGUCCAGUCUUCUGCUCCUGUAGUGAGCCAAGUUUCCAAUCUUUUUCAUAAACAGCUUGGUGCUAUUCAAAAAUAUGCUCUUUCCUCCUUGUUGUCUCUCCUAUUCUCCCAGUUUCCCACUUUAUUUGGUGUUUGUUCCAGAAUUUCCUUCUUUUGAUGGGAAAAAAACAUUUUAAUUUCCAUUGUCAGUUUAGAUAUGUUUCUCUUGUUCUGUGAAAUUCCUAAAAAAUUAAUUACUGCAGGUAGCCAUGUCUGUAUAGGGAAUAAGGGAGGAAAACCCUUAGAAGAGGAUAGAAAAUCUUCACUUGGGUAAAUUCUUAAGUCUGUUGGAAACUAGGCUUUAACAGCACUUAGCAUAAAGUGUUUGUGUAUCUGAUACUACCAGGUUUUCUGGGACUGGCAAAUGAAUUAUUUAAUAAUGGAAACUGCAUGUGCAUGUGUUUGGCUUCUGUAGUUUCACAUGAUAGAAACUGUAAGAGUGUCUGCAGGGAUCACAACUGCACAACCUUGUAUCUUACACCCUUUGUCUUAACAGGGCUCAGAAAUUCCCAUUUAGCUGGGUAAAAGAGAGAGAACAGAGUGGCAAGUCUCAGCUUUUAUUGCUAAUGCUUUAAUGUAAAAUAACAUUUAUGGUCUGUAGAUUUGGUUCUGUGUAGGUCUGUGUGACUUAAAAUUUAUUACACCACUUCAUAUUUGUGCAUCUCUCUCCAGUUCCUGGAUAUCAAAAUAUUAAAGGUCCAAAAGGUUACCAUUAUGUUAAUAGAUCCAGAUAUACCCAGUAUUUAACUUCCCUGUGCAAAGGAACUGCAUCAAGGACUGGCUUGUCCUGUUAGCAUGUGACAGUGUCAGCCCCGUGUGCUGCUGCAAAGCUUCAUGGAGCCUUAGAGAAUAAAACAGAAAAAAGCCAAGUGUACGCUCAAUGGAAAACAGAUGGAGUUUUCAUUAGAUAUUACUUUUAAUGAUCUGCUUUAAAAGUAAAGAUACACCAUUCUGAGCAGAAGGGCCUCAUAAUAGCUGUGUUUGAGUCCCAGGCUCAUUAACUUAGCUACAGAUAAGCAAGACUGCAAGAUCUUUGUAUCAUUAGAGGUUCCAGUCAAGCUUGCCUACCAUUAUUAGAAUUCCAAACACAGCAGAACUAUUUUGGAGCCUUAACAAUAAUUUAUCCUGAAGAUGUAUCUUUAUUUAAUGAUUCAGAGUUGUUAUUAUGGGCCUGGCAGUCAGUUGCUCAGUUUCUGGAGUAUUACCAUUUAACCUAGGUCAGGAUAAAAAUCCUGGAAUAUUCAUUGCAGGGCAGAGCUGAGGGUCUGUUCUUUACAGUCCACUUGGGUGUGACUGUCCCAAAUGGUGCCACUGGCUGUGAGAGGUGACCUCAGCAGUCUACAAAACCUGAAGAUCCCUCCUAAAAAGAGGGACCCUGCAAGCUGUGCCUGUGGGUACUAAAUCAACUUUUGACAUGUAAAGAACAAUGCAAUCCCAGGGUUUUAGGAGUAGAUGCUUGCUGCCAAACCACAAGAAAUGCUUUUGUCUGGAACUCAUGGAGCAGUAACAUAGCAGUGGAGGGUGUACCCUUGUCUGUUAUUCCCUCUGAGCAAUUUCUCAGAGACUUGUUACCAGGAUUCAGAUAGAUUUCAUGGAACUAGGAGAGAAAUAGGCUUUAAUUUCCUUACAAAAGGAGGGAGAGACAAUAGAACUCAGCAGAACAUGGCAUUUUUUUGUUUCUGUCUGACAGUUAUGCAAGCAAAACCCAGUGCCCAUCUUCAGGCAGUACUUUCUAAAGUGAGACUCAUGUGAGAAAAUUUGUGUUAUCUUUCUUCUGGUAUGAGUUGAUAAAACUGCUUCAUUUCCUCUGCAUGUGAGUACAACCUAUGUCUUCAGCUGAUCUCCAGCUGGGGAGCACAAAUCAGAAUCCAAGUUCCUCAAAGUUCAAGGAAGUUUGGAGAUGAUGUUCUGGUUCACUGCUGCCUCUGCAGAAAAAUACCUGCAUGAAUAAUAAAAAAACCCCAGCCUCUUGUUUUCAUAAGAGGCGGACUAGAAGGAUCAAGUCCAGUGACAAUCUAUCACAAACUGCUAAUUAAAUACUGUUAUGGAACCAGGUUUUUCCCACUCUGUUAGAAACCUUCUUUAACUUCCAGACUAGAGUUAUUGGUUGGCUAGUUUGUUCAUAUUUAGUAUUGUGCCAAAGCUGUCUUUUAGUUUAGAUUUUUACACACAAUGCGUUAGAUUUCCUCUGUUUAUAGUUAGGUUUGUGUACCUUAGUUACAAUGGUCCAACCCUUUUUCAACAACAUUUCUGCUCUUCUGAUUGCUCCUGCUACCUUAUGUCCAAGUAAUUGCAGUGAAUUUCUUCCGUUGUGAUUUAUUUGCAGACAUCAAGGAUAUCCCCUUGCUAUGUUGCUAGAGUGAAAAAACAACACUUCUUAUACAAUGGUUUCUUUCCUCUUUAGCCAUUCAGUGGCCUUUUCCUGAUUCAGUGUAUUUGGCCAUUUUGAGUGGCCAAAUCAGAACAAGCCAGUUCCAUCAUAGUGGUGAUUCCAGCACGAGGUGAGAGGUUCCUACUGUAGUUUGUGAAGAAUUUUCACAGGAUAAAUUCUCAGCAAAUUCUAAGCAGGUUCCUUUCCAAGGUGUCUAGUUAUGCAAAGCUCACUCGCCAAACUUGUCCUAAGUAAAUAAUCUGUAUGCAUCAAUGCAAAAAUGCACACCUGAAGUGACAAAAGGCUUGCUUUGUACAGGGGAGUUAACCCCUGCACUGCUCGGGGAGCAGCACAUGGUACUCCUGGGUGCCCUGGUGUCUGUGUGCACACACAGCACUGACUGAAGCUGGGGGAAUUACUGCUGCAGUGUUUCCAGAGUCUUGCGGAAGGCAACUUCUCAACAAGGUACAUUGGUAUUUGGCAGAUCUUUGCUGCAUCAAGUAUUCCACCAGUAGAUAAUUCUGGAGAAAUGAUUAAGAGGAAAUGCAAGUGACCUCCAUAGCAAGGUACUCCUGUUGAGAAGUUGAGUUGUUUAAGAUGUGUUUUUUAGAGGUCCUGGAUACCUUCUAGAAGUUGUUUCUUAAAGCAUCUGCAUGUCAGCACCCUAGAUAUUUUAAACUGAGCAUGCAAAACCCCAGCAUGGAUGGGCACUCUUCAAUGAGGAGGCCUACAUGACUCCCUUUAGUUACUUGGCAGCACAAUAAUAGAAAUAGGAACGUGGGAUUUCUUAUGUCUAUUGUGUCCAUUAGAACAAUACUGCUGAGAGCAACUGAGACCAAAGGCCUGGCCUUCAAAAUAUAUGACUUGAAAAGAAAGCUGCAUUUUUUUUUGUAAGGUCCAAAUGUAUUUCAUUCAGCUGUGCUGCUACUCUCAAAGUUUAGUUGUAAACAAGUCACACAUCUGGAUAGCACUGCCUGUAACUGUCUUCAUCCUCACCAGGAGUUACUGGCUUCACAAUGUUCUGUGUGUGUAGAAAACAGCUUGUAAGAGGUAACCUGAGCAAACUCUUACAACUAAAGAGCUUAAGUACCUUCAAUGACCUGCCUGCAAAGUAGCCACAGUCUUUAACUUUAUGGGUAUAACCCUAAAGUCUUGAAAUCCUGCAUUUUAGCCCUGCAGAGCUCCUCUGAUUCUGACUGGUCCCUAUCAAAUUUCCAUGCUGACUCUUUGUCCAGACAGAUCAGCUGUCCAGAGCAAUGGUGUCCUAACUGCUUUUGUGGGAGGUGAGUAGAACUCACAUACAGCUAUAAAGGGUUUUGUAGCUAUACAGCAAUAAAACUUUGAAAACCAUUUCUGUACAUCAUAAACAAAAUUAAGUAAGCUGUCAGAAUUAUCAUUACUCAGUGCCAAAAUAAUGUUGCACCUGAAUAACUUCUGUUGAAGUGACAGGUUGUUUUCUCACUGCAUGGUUGGCAUAUCCUGGAAACUUUGGAUUCUGCACUCUAGAGACUAAAUUUAUUUGGAUUAAUUAAUAUUUAAAAUGUUCUAUGCUCCUGAUUCCAGCCUCAGCUCCCAAAACCAUGACAGAAAAACAACUGGAAAAUAUACCCACUGAAUUCCAGUAUGGACAGGGAUCCACAGAAAGGGAUAGGGAACUUGGAGACUCCCAAUUUGUGCACAGCUGAUACAAGGCCAGGGUUUGGAGUUCUUGGCUGCUGACAGGAUGAGAAGGGGACAUGACCUGUUCACUCUAAGAGACUGAGGACAUGUGGAGAAGGCUGCAUUUUGGAGGAAUUGAGACUUCACUGGUUGUCUGCCUUUCUCUUGGAACAGCCAUUCCAAAAAGUCUUUACAAACUUCCCAGCAUGGUGGUGAGGUCCUCAGCAUGGAAGAAUAAAAUCAGAGUGCUCUUGCUGCAAAGCUGCUGUUCUCCUCUGCUCCUAGACUGUCCCUACUCCCAAGCACACAACUUGCCUGCUGAUUUGUGGCUGAUUGCCACAUGCUCCCAGUUUCCUUUACACUUGCCUGGCAUUUCCUUGGCCUUCCAAGCAGAAAUAGGACAGAGCACAGAAGAGCCCCUCAUAAACCACCUGGCUUGAGGCACGGAGACACAGCUGUCCCCACAGUCUGAGUACCACCAGGAUGUGGCACCUCCUGGGGCUCUGCAGGCUCUGAGAGCCCAGAAAGGCAGAGGCAGAGACCCACGGGUGUUCCUUGGCAUUCCCUCACCUCUCUCCUAGCUGGCCUUUGUAAAUCAUUAAUGAAAGAUACUUCUGAAUAAACACUUUCUCUGUUAUCUUCUCCAGUACUAAGGAUUAAUUUUGCAUGAGUCUAUGCCUUUACUGCUCUUCAGCAGUGACAGAACUUCAUUUCUGGGCCAGAUUUUAUGAAUGAUGUUCCAUAUUUAUUAUGUAUUAUGACCUUUUUGGAUGAUACAAAGUUGAGUCUAGACAUCUGUCUUUGGUUCUAACACUUUUUCUUCUCUGAUGAACAGUGUGUUGCAGUCUAUAGAUACCUGUAAUUUACAACUUCUUUUGAGUUUAAGAUCAUGAUUGACAUUUUAUAUAAAGCAAGGUGGUGAACAGGAGUUCAUUGACUUUUCAACCCUGGAAUCACCCAAACAGUUUUACAUUCCAAGUAAAAUAUCUGGUAGGUUUCACACCAGUCAUUUACCAGUGAAUAUCACAAUGUUGCUGUUGGAAAAAAACCUGAAUUUAUUAAGGCAGUAUAUUUUAAAAAUUGGCUCCAGCACCACACAGCUGGAAACAAGGAAAAAGUAAUCUAAGGCAGCAUGUAAAAAACUGUUCUCUAGUUAGACUGUGUAUUUUUAAUAACUGCUUCCAACAGACCACCCUAUGACACUGAUUGCAAGCACAGAAAGCCUGAUUGUUCAAAAGCCACCUAAAUAAGACAGAUGUUGAAAUGCCAACCUCCCACUAUCCACCUCCAACCUAUUCUUUUCAUCUUUUUUGGCUUAUUUCACUUGUUUAUUUCCUGGUGUCCUUUCUCUCACUGGUGUUUUCCUUCAGUACCACCCUCUUUGCCUCCAGAACCAACUGUAGCUUUUAGCUUUAAUGGCAGAACAAGAACUGUUCAGAGAUCUUUUAAUCUUUCACCUCACAUGUCCCUUGCACAAGGACAGGCUACUCACUGCUCAGAGAAGAACUAUGAAAAUAGGAAAAAUACUAGAUUAAUUAAGCUUGAUCACCAAAAAACCCAAGAAUCUCUUACUCCUGUUGUCUUGCACUAAAAUACAAGAAGUGCUUCCUGGUUUAUAACAUACUUUCUCUAAAGGAUGUUUACUGUAAGACAGUGUCAAUGUGGUGUCAUUCCUUUGGCCACUUGGGUCCCAGUUUUUGAAAAUGUCUCUUGUUGUAGGCUGAAAUGUAUUACAACUUUAUCACUAUUUUCCUUACUAAAAAUGAAACAAGUUGAUAAGAGUUUCACAAACCCAUAAUUAACUUCCCCUUUGAGAACAAAGAGGAUGCAUUUUUAAAAUGUUUUUAUUGCUUAGUAAUUCACGAUACAAAAAAAUGUCUUCUGCAGCAAAACACACAAAGAGGAAUGAGUGCAAACCAAACAAAUCAGAAAGUAAAUUAUCUAUGAAACCACUUAUUUCAAUGCAACAGGGAACAGUAAAGUUUUGAAACAGCUUUUUCCUCCUCUGGAGAAUUCAGAACUUAUUGGAGCUCCUGACCUAAGUCAGAAUAUUGCAUUAAACCAAGAUUUCAAUUCCUUCCUCCCAGAGAGACCUAAACAUUGUCCUCACAACAUGUUCAUUUUGUUGGAAUAGAAGAAAAAUUUAAGUCUUGAGAAAGACUGCAACCUGCUCUGUCCUGCCAAGGCAAUGGCUGUGCCAUGUGCUCUCCUCAAGGGAAAGACAAGGACAGCUUGGAACAUAAAAAAUCCACAUGGUGGAUUCUACACCAUGACUUCUCAGAUCUCUAUUCCAAUCAGUUUGUACUGACUUCCAAAGACAAGCCUUCACCAGCUAACAUGAGCACUUUGCCCACAUGCUCCAGCAGAACUCCAGUGUCUUAUGUUCUGUCAGGCUUUCUUCUCCCAGCAGCCCUGCACAGAGGAAUUCUCAAGACAUGGCCCAUACCUUUGUAUUUUGAGCCACACUCACAUAGUAACACCUUCCUGUGCCUCUGAUGCCAAGGUGCAGCUACAAAGUUACACAAAUUCCUGGAUGUGCAGCCAUCUCCUUGACACCACAGUUCACUUGAUGUCACUCCUUGUUCACAGGCUGAAGUCUUUGUAGCCUGGCAAAUUCUCCUUGGGAGGGUCUGUUCACAGGAUAGUAUAGCUUACAAAGGGAAAAUUGUAUUUUUUCUUCCUUGUUCAGUAUCUUCUUUAAUAUUAUGAGAUAAUUGACAUUUCUU